RNAcentral lists this ribosomal RNA (861 nucleotides) under uncultured fungus. Its description in RNAcentral is "eukaryotic LSU rRNA". The stretch from base 275 to 429 matches the Rfam family "5.8S ribosomal RNA". The record is from RNAcentral. Lineage: Eukaryota; Fungi.
CUUGGUCAUUUAGAGGAAGUAAAAGUCGUAACAAGGUUUCCGUAGGUGAACCUGCGGAAGGAUCAUUAACAAAUUCUACAAACAUACAAUACACGUGUUGAUGCUGUGCACACACACACGCACACACACUGCACGCUUUCAUGAGAGAGAGAUCUCAUGGUGGUGGUGGGUGGUGGGUGUGUGUGUGCAUGGUGUCGUUCAAGACACACAACAACAACAAUGACCUUUUGACACAGUAUGGAUGAGACAGUAGUAAUGAGAAAGAAAGAGAAACAACUUUUAACAAUGGAUCUCUUGGCUCUUGCAACGAUGAAGAACGCAGCAAACUGCGAAACGUCAUGUGACCUGCACUCUUCGAGAAACAUCCAAUCUUUGAACGCACUUUGCACCGUGUGGCUUUUGUCACACGGUAUACUUGUUUGAGCAUCUGAAACACCUUGCCACAUCCUUUGGGGAGACAUGAGGAGAAGAAGGCAGACAUGAGAUUCGACGGACGAAAGUGCAAGUCGUUUCUUGAAAUGGGCGUGAUCGGUGCGUGUGCGGGCACACUGGGAGAGAGAGUGUGUGAGCGUGCGUGGUGUGAGGCGUGUGCGCGCAUAUGCAGCGGCAUGAACCAACUAUUGGGAUAACAUCCUAACAAUCGUUUGUGAGUGAGCGUGGUGUGUGUGUGAGUGAGCGUGCAUGUGAAGACACAAGAUCGCGAAAGGACAAGGAAACCCGACAAGGGUUUGUCUUGUGCACGACGACGGAGAGCGAGCGAGUGAGAGGGUGAAAGCUUGCUUGCUUGCUCAGACGACGACGACCAAGAUCUCAAAUCAAGCAAGGAGACCCGCUGAACUUAAGCAUAUCAAUAAGCGGAGG